CUGUUUUGUUGACCCUUCUCCCCAAAAUAGCUGCAUUUCAUUCAUUUAAUUUGGCACAUCUUCUCCCCACCAGCGCAUUUUACUUUUUUAUGUUUAUUAUUGUCUAUGACAUUACUACAUUCUAUGUAGACUGUAUCUAUGGAGAAAUGCAUGGUGAAAAGGGAGCACUUUACCAUUAAAGUUAAUUCUUUUUGCUCCAGUGCCUCCAGCUACUGACUUGUUGAUG
This is a non-coding RNA of Pelobates cultripes (western spadefoot toad), 226 nucleotides long. Lineage: Eukaryota; Metazoa; Chordata; Amphibia; Anura; Pelobatidae. The record is from the annotation of a GenBank genome assembly.